GGUUGCGAUCAUACCAGCACUAAUGCACGGAUCCCAUCAGAACUCUGCAGUUAAGCGUGCUUGGGCGAGAGUAGUACUAGGAUGGGUGACCCCCUGGGAAGUCCUCGUGUUGCAACCC
Molecule: ribosomal RNA, 118 nt
Filed under: Helianthus annuus (common sunflower)
Lineage: Eukaryota; Viridiplantae; Streptophyta; Magnoliopsida; Asterales; Asteraceae
Source: RNAcentral